RNAcentral lists this ribosomal RNA (429 nucleotides) under Acidobacteriota bacterium. RNAcentral's name for it is "Acidobacteria bacterium partial 16S ribosomal RNA". It matches the Rfam family "Bacterial small subunit ribosomal RNA", at positions 355 to 776 of the family's 1533-position model. The record is from RNAcentral. Lineage: Bacteria; Pseudomonadati; Acidobacteriota.
UGGGGAAUUUUGGACAAUGGGGGAAACCCUGAUCCAGCCAUCUCGCGUGUGCGAUGAAGGCCUUCGGGUUGUAAAGCACUUUUGGCAGGAAAGAAACGUCAUGGGUUAAUACCCCGUGAAACUGACGGUACCUGCAGAAUAAGCACCGGCUAACUACGUGCCAGCAGCCGCGGUAAUACGUAGGGUGCAAGCGUUAAUCGGAAUUACUGGGCGUAAAGCGUGCGCAGGCGGUUCGGAAAGAAAGAUGUGAAAUCCCAGAGCUCAACUUUGGAACUACAUUUUUAACUACCUGGCUAGAGUGUGACAGAGGGAGGGGGAAUUCCGCGUGUAGCAGUGAAAUGCAUAGAUAUGCGGAGAAACACCGAUAGCGAAGGCAGCCUCCUGGGAUAACACUGACGCUCAUGCACGAAAGCGUGGGGAGCAAACAGG